UACGGGAGGCAGCAGUGAGGAAUAUUGCGCAAUGGGCGAAAGCCUGACGCAGCAACGCCGCGUGAGGGACGAAGGCCUUCGGGUCGUAAACCUCUUUUCUGGGGAAAGAGCAAGGACGGUACCUCAGGAAUAAGUCUCGGCUAACUACGUGCCAGCAGCCGCGGUAAAACGUAGGAGGCGAGCGUUAUCCGGAUUUACUGGGCGUAAAGCGCAUGCAGGCGGCUUCGUUAGUCGGGUGUGAAAGCUCCUAGCUUAACUGGGAGAGGCCAUUCGAUACUGCGAGGCUUGAGGUUGGGAGAGGGGUGUGGAAUUCCCGGUGUAGUGGUGGAAUGCGUAGAUAUCGGGAGGAACACCUGUGGCGAAAGCGGCACCCUGGCCCACACCUGACGCUGAGGUGCGAAAGCGUGGGGAGUAAACAGGAUUAGAUACCCUGGUAAUCCACGCUGUAAACGAUGUCAACUGGGUGUCGGUAGCUUUACGCUAUCGGUGCCGAAGCAAACGCGUUAAGUUGACCGCCUGGGGACUACGGCCGCAAGGCUAAAACUCAAAGGAAUUGACGGGGA
Molecule: ribosomal RNA, 563 nt
Filed under: uncultured Caldilineaceae bacterium
Lineage: Bacteria; Bacillati; Chloroflexota; Caldilineae; Caldilineales; Caldilineaceae
Description: bacterial SSU rRNA
Rfam family: Bacterial small subunit ribosomal RNA
Source: RNAcentral